AUGGCAUGGUGGAAGAUAUGUGUUCCAAAAGACCAAGGAAGUAUAGGGUUCAGGGAUAUACACUGUUUUAAUCUGGCCCUGUUAGCUAAACAAGCCUGGCAUCUCUUGGAUAAUCCUGAAUCGUUAUGUGCCACAAUAUUAAGAGCCAAAUAUUUCUCGAAGGGUGAUUUGAUGAAUGCAAUUUUAAAAAAGGGUUCCUCUUUUACCUGGCAAGGUAUUAUGGAGGAAGCGAAAUCUCUCAGGAAUGGUUAUAUAUGGAGGGUUGGUAUGAAGAAAAUAUUGAUAUAUGGAGAGAUGCAUGAAUCCCAAAUUGUGUGA
Molecule: ribosomal RNA, 318 nt
Filed under: Triticum aestivum (bread wheat)
Lineage: Eukaryota; Viridiplantae; Streptophyta; Magnoliopsida; Poales; Poaceae
Description: partial small subunit ribosomal RNA
Source: RNAcentral